Schistosoma curassoni is the source of this 79-nucleotide non-coding RNA. The record is from Rfam. NCBI's taxonomy places the organism in Eukaryota, Metazoa, Platyhelminthes, Trematoda, Strigeidida, Schistosomatidae.
AGCCUUCUGUAUCCGUGCUGAGAUUUCGUCAGACACUAAACCACAAAGAGCUGAUGAGACUUCCAAGAUAAAUGAAGCG